Molecule: ribosomal RNA, 449 nt
Filed under: uncultured bacterium
Lineage: Bacteria
Description: partial 16S ribosomal RNA
Rfam family: Bacterial small subunit ribosomal RNA
Source: RNAcentral
AACGAACGCUGGCGGCAUGCCUAACACAUGCAAGUCGAACGAGAGCUUCGGCUCUAGUGGCGCACGGGUGCGUAACGCGUGGGAAUCUGCCCUUGGGUUCGGAAUAACAGUUGGAAACGACUGCUAAUACCGGAUGAUGACGUAAGUCCAAAGAUUUAUCGCCCUGGGAUGAGCUCGCGUCGGAUUAGCUAGUUGGUGGGGUAAAGGCCUACCAAGGCGAAAAUCAGUAGCUGGUCUGUGAUGAUGAUCAGUCACACUGGGACUGAGACACGGCCCAGACUCCUACGGGAGGCAGCAGUGGGGAAUAUUGGACAAUGGGCGCAAGCCUGAUCCAGCAAUGCCGCGUGAGUGAUGAAGGCCUUAGGGUUGUAAAGCUCUUUUACCCGGGAAGAUAAUGACUGUACCGGGAGAAUAAGCCCCGGCUAACUCCGUGCCAGCCGCCGCCGUAA